This is a non-coding RNA of Macaca mulatta (Rhesus monkey), 3355 nucleotides long. NCBI's taxonomy places the organism in Eukaryota, Metazoa, Chordata, Mammalia, Primates, Cercopithecidae. The record is from RefSeq and is a predicted model, not a curated record.
AGUAGUUGAUGUGACCUACAAAGCCUAAUACAUUUGUUUUUCGUCAUGAUCUAUGUAAGCCCAUGCUUUAUUGGAAUCUGUGUUAGAAAACAUGUCAGUCUAUUAUUCCAUUAUUAUUACAGCAUUUUGCUACUGCCAUCAUUCAUCCCUCACUCAACGAACAUUCAUUGGGUACCUUUUAAGUAAUAGGUAUUAGAUACAAAAAUACAGAGGUGAAAAAGAUACCUUUUUCCCUCAAGGCUGUCACAAAGGCAAAUAGUUCGAUGACAGUGUGAAACGGGCUACAAAAUAUGUAACAAUAUGGGUCUUGAUUGCGCAAAGAAGGAUAUGACGAGCUGCAGCUGAGAUGUUAGGGGAGGUCAAGGAGGUUUUUACAAAUAACGUAACUCAAGCUAGGUCUUGAGGGCUGAACAGAUUUUACCAAAUAAAUAGGAAGGAAAAUACUUUCUCUCUAAAGAGAGAAUAAGCACAGAGGUGUGUAUUUAACACAUUCUAUAAAGGGAAGUGCAAAUGAUUCUUUCAACAGUAUUGAUGAAAUUGUGAAUCAAAAGUAUCUGAGAUAGGACUCAAUCAAUUUAUUUUGCCAAGGUUAAAGACACACCCAUGAACACAGCCUCAGGAGAUAAAAAAGCUACAAUUUGCCUACAAGGAAAUUCUUUGUGGGCUUCAAGAUGAUGACAUGUGCCCAAUGUGGCUGGGGUACAGCUUGGGUUUUGUCUUUUAGGGAGACACAAGACAUCAAUCAAUAUGUGUAAGAUGUAGAUUGGUUUGGUCUGGAAAGGCAAGACAACUUGCAGUGGGUAGGAGGCUUUCAGGUCGUAGAUUGUAGGUGAGAAGAAGCAGUCAGAUACGCAUUUGCCUUAGAUGAGCAGACGGAUGACUUUGAGUUCUGUCCUUUGUCCCGCACCUGUGAAGGUAAGCUAUCAAUUUACAUUGCCAGGGUGAAAUCAACAGAACUCUUUUAAGGUAAAGAUCUUGAGUCCCAAAAGGAAUUUCCUUGUGGGAAAAUUGUGAGGGAGGUAUGUAGCUUUUUUAAUCUUUGUAGUUAUUUAGGAAUAAAAUGGGAGGCAGCUUUGCCUGAGCAAGUUCCCAGCUUGACAUUUCCCUUUGGCUUAGUGGUUUUGGGGUCCUGAGAUUUAUUUUUCUUUCAAAAAGUGUAUACACCAGACAUGGUGAAUGAUGUAGUCUCAUGGUGGGAAGCUACCAGAAGGGAACCUAGAGAGGAAAUGAGAAUGAAGUCAAAGUAGGCUUCCCCUAACUAUCAAAAUGAACUUAGAAGAGCCUGAUGGUGGAAGUGGAAGCCACAGAAGGAUUUUAAAUAGGAGACUAAUACAGUUUGGAAAAACACGCUGCCGGGUGGAGGAUAGAUUUGAGGGGUCGAGAGUGUAGGAUGGGAAGAGUGAAUGAAGAGACUGUUGCAAUCAGUAGUCUUAAGUGGGAGGUAGCGAGGUCCAGGAAGUGAGGAUGGAUUGAAGCGAUCCAUCUACUGUGCAAGAAAGCAGAGUGUGGGAGUACUGGGGACUGAUUCAAUUUGAGAGGACUGGAGGUGUGAAAAGGAAGCUUGAAUUACAGCAUGAUUGUUCCAGGAGGCACCUGACGAGGUACUUCCGUGGAGAAGAUAAUGCUUUCAGCUUAGGACAUUGUGGUAAAGCUUUUCAGAAGGCAGUUGGGUGUAUCUAUGUCAGAAGCUUAGAAGAGGGGCCUAGGUUGGGGGCACGGCUUUGGGGUGAUUACAUUGAGCUGGUAUUGAAGCUACAGGGGUUGAUGAGAUCACCAAGUAUUUUAGGUGAGAAGACAAGAAACGAUACACAGAACUUUGAAUGACACCAAUAGUGAAGACUUGGAUGGUGAAGGGGAGCUGGCAAAGAGAUUGAGAGAGAAUGCACAGCAAGACAGAAAAACAAGAAGUCUAUUAGCAAACUGAAUGUAUUUUCUUUAUGCCUCACUGCUUUCAUGACUGUGUCUAAUAUUUUUCCAUGAGUCCAAUAUACAUUUUUACUAGGUAUAUUGCUUUUAUUUUUAGAUAUAAUGGUUUUCAAUUCCUUGUGACUUGACACUGGACUCCAAUUUUUAUAGACAAGACACUUUGGAAUUUAAACUAUAUGCAUUCACAUAGUGUUUAUAAAGGGUGAAAGUAAAUCUAAACUCUUGAUUCAAGACUCAGGAUAGCAGAGAUGCACCAGGGGAAGGGGAAGAGGAGUGAGAAUUAGAGCAAUCUAUUAUAAGGGAGGAUAUUUUGAGAGGAAAACUUUUCUCUCUUAAAGACAAAUUGUUUUCUUGCUAACUGUAUCUCAACAUCUUAAAAGAAUCCCUAGUUUAUGUAAUUGCUGAUGGCUAAUGAUAGACAUGUCCUGGUGUAUGAGUAAAUGUAGAUAAGGUUUAUGAGCCAUUUAUUAAAACAACUUGUCUCCUUAGUGGCUAAAAUUCCCCCCCCCCAUGUUUUCCUCAAGGAGUCAUCCAAUGCUGUUGUUUUCUAUGGAACCCUAUAGCUAUUCUGUAGGUAUUUCAAUUUUCAAACGAAUGUUGCAGGUGUGUGUGUGUGUGUGUGUGUGUGUGUGUGUGUGUGUGUAAAAAUAUAGAUAUUGUGGUUUGGGUAUUUUAUAAUGGUGAAAUCUAUAAACUUACAGCUUUCAGUACAUUUCAAAGGCUCAAUAAUAAACCAUAAUGUUUGACAACUUCCCAGCCAUAUUCAUAUAUUAUGACGUGUAUCUCCUUUAACCAAAAAAGCUGCGUUUUAAACAUUUGCUUGUAGUUAGGUUGCAGAACACUUUUCCCCCCAUGGAAAUAAUGUCAUAAGUGGGACUUGCAUUCAAGCCCUGCUUACUGUGGUUGUUUGAAAUAUGUUCAGAAAUUCUUUGACAAAACCUCCAAAUGGUAGAGCUAAUUCCUCUCCCUUCAGCAUGGGCUGGAUUUAGUGACUUACUUCUAACGAAUAGAAUAAAAAAGCAGAGGCAACUGAAUGUGGCUUCAGAGACUAGAUGACAAAAGGCACCUUGGCUCUCUUUUCUCCCUUUCUCCUGGAUCCCUCGCCCUGGGGCCAGGCAGCUGUCACGUCCUGAGGAUGCUCAGGCAGCCUGUGGAAAGGCCCCCAUGGUGAGGAACGGAGGUCUCUGACCAAACGCCAUGUGAAGACUCCAGCUUGGAAGUUGACCUGCCAGUCCCUGUCAAGCCUUGAGAAGACUGCGGGCCUGAUGAUAACCUCACUGCCUAGAACCACCCAGCUAAGACGCUCUGCAUUUCUGACCCACAACAACUGUCAGAUAAUACAUCUUUGUUGUCUUAAGCCACUGAAUUUUGCAGUAACUAGUUACCCAUAACUAAUACACCCACAAAACCCUGUUUAAUUCAAUUUGAA